AUUUCCACUGCUGCGCAGAGAGCACACGCAUCUUCGGUAGACUUGGAAUUCCUGGAGAAUUGCCUUUGUGAAAAGUUGACAUAAUCCCUUUAAAUUCCAUCUCUUUUACGUUUCCUAUUUUGUUGUGUCUCAAAAAGACAUCAAGAAACC
This 150-nucleotide non-coding RNA is filed under the name Bos taurus (domestic cattle). RNAcentral's name for it is "ODC internal ribosome entry site (IRES)". It matches the Rfam family "ODC internal ribosome entry site (IRES)". RNAcentral also lists the same sequence under 3 other names. The record is from Rfam by way of RNAcentral. Lineage: Eukaryota; Metazoa; Chordata; Mammalia; Artiodactyla; Bovidae.